RNAcentral lists this long non-coding RNA (1419 nucleotides) under Mus musculus (house mouse). Its description in RNAcentral is "long non-coding RNA chr13:113977456-113978875". Lineage: Eukaryota; Metazoa; Chordata; Mammalia; Rodentia; Muridae. The record is from RNAcentral.
GGGUGGGGUGUUGUGGUUCCUGGCUGAUCUGUAAGGUGUUCUCUCCCCAGAUGUCAGCACAGCACAUUGACAGAAGGGUUGAGUAGUCACCACAGGAUGCAUAAAGAUGAAGCAGAGAGGCUCUCAAGACAGAGCUCUGUAUAACUCAUGGGCACUUAGUCACAUCUUCAAUGAAGUUGUUCUUAUUCAGAGGUUUGGACCCUAAAGCCCUGGUUUUUAAAAGUGUGAAAACAUGUCCUUCAGUUCAUUCUUCCCUCUUUCUUUCACUCAUAAAGAUUUAUGUUUUAAUUCUGAAGUAUUUUAAUUUAAACUGGUACGUGCCCAUUCUGUUGGGUAAUUCUCUAAAUAUUUGAAUUAUUUAAGUGGGAAACCAGAAGUAGAUCAAUGUAAAUGUGUGUUACAUAUUUGGGCCAAUAAAGGCAGAUGACAUGUUACCAUACUUUUAUACUGAUAUUUUUGUUUUAGUUAAUCUUAGGUUCGGAUAUCUUACUAUCUUUUGAUUGGUUUUUUUUUUUUUUUAACUUGGUGACUCUGGCUUUUUCAAUGACUUUUACAUCAAUUAAGGCCAGUUUUUUAAUUAAAGGGGAGAAAACAGGCUUUCUGGUGAAGCGUGAGGUGUCAGGGUUGCCUGAGCAAUGGCUUAUUAUUGAGAUAAUGUUUUUGUUCGGUUGUGUUUUUUUACGAUUUAUUAUUUUUACUUCGUGUGUAGGAGUGGUUUCCUGCAUGUAUUAUAUGCACUGUGCAUUUGCCUGCUGCCCACAUCGGCCAGCAGAAGGCGCUGGAUUCCCCACCACCAAGUGGGUGCUGGAACUAAAUUCAUGCCUUAUGGUAGAUAGAGCAGCAAAUGCCCUUUCUUAUCCACUGAGCCAUCUCUCCAGCCUCAUGUUUUCUUAAUUUUGGUUUAUUGAUUUAUUUAUUUUAAUUUUUCUUGUUAUUGUACCAAAACCUGUUUGUUUUCUUUCCCUAUUAUGAAGAAUUCUCUAUCCUAAGAAGUUUUUCUCUCAGUUUUGGAACCCCAUACUGUCUAUGUUUUAAUAUAAACAUAGACAGUAAGAUCAUCUUGCUUAAUUCAAGUUAACUAUGGCUACAAGUCUAUAAAGGUCGUUUUCGGUAAAACAGUUGAUAAGUUUCAGUGACUUUACAGCUUUAUACAUUAACAGUGAAAUACAAAGUUCCUAAUAACCUUUUAUUAGUAGUAGUUAGUGGGCUUCCAGCUAUGAUGUGCCAUGUGAUUCUCUAGCCAUGAUAAUGCUCAGCUGGAAAAAGUAUACUAUUAACAUCAUCAAAGCUGUACAUUAAAUGUGCCUUUCAUCUCAGCACCUAGAGGUAGAGGCAGGUGGAUCUCUGUGUGUUGGAGACCAUCUUGGUCCUUGUAGUGAGUUUCAGGGCAACCAGUAUUACAUAGUGAAUCCUUAACUC